AUGGGAAACUUCUCAUCACAGUUUAUAUCAGACACAUAUCAUUUGUCCAAACCUUCCUCGGCUGUUGCCACAGACCUUUACCACUUGCAUUACCGCAGGCGCACCACGGACCGCUCAAGUCCCAGCUGUACGUCGCCAGCCAUCUGCAGGCUUUUCACGCAGUUUGUGGGACCAGACGGAAGGAGAGCGUGAGGUGAAACGCCAACACCCGUGAGCGAGCUCAUCUUCGCCCAGUCAGACGAGUGGCAAGAAAAGCAAGAAGCUGUAAAGGUGUUGGUUGGUCUUGCGGCCACCAGCAGCCAUGGGGCUGGGAGGGAAAUGCUGAGUGAGUGCCGGUGAUGAGUGACUCCACGGGCUUCUGGUUUAGGAUUCGUAGCUGUGAGCCUGAGAUGCUGGAACACCUUUUUUAAAAAACCAAGCACUAAAAAAAUAAAAAAUAAAAAAUAAAAAUAAAAAAAAUCCAAGCACACAUUUAACAAAGAAAAUGACAGAUAUUUUACUAAUCCAGAACCCCAGCAAUUGAAAGUCAUCUGCCCUCGUUUGAACCUCAGUCAAUAAUCUCUCAAAUCGACGUCAUUUUUAUUUUAAGAAUUUGGCCUUGAUUUUCUUUGCAUGGAGGGUUCGGGGGGAGGGGGGAGACAGUAAAAGUCUUAAGGCCGUAAUGAUCAAGUUCUCAGGGGAACUGGUAAUUCUUGGUGGAGUUGGAGCCUACGACAGCUGUGUGUCCUUGGGCAGGUUGCUUGGCUUCUCUGUGCCUUAGCCUGUCCACUAGGAAAGGGGUGCACAGAACCUAGUCACAGAGUUCUUUUGAAGAGGCCGUGGGCAGGUUCCCGGCAUCAAACGCUGCUGCGAUCAGUUCUCAUUAGCUGCUCGUGAAUACUUUUAUUAGUGUGAAAAUGUGGGUGUGAAAGCGAACACACCAGCCCCGGGAGAGGAGUGGGGACGGCGUGUGGUAGGGCCUGGGUGGCAGGGGAGGGGCCUGACUGACCUCUGCUGACUGGUUUCCUCGCGGCCUGUUCCUCCCUAACACUAAAUGUCACCCCAUUGUUCACGUUGACAUGGUUGCUUGUACUUGACAUGAAUUCCACAUCAAUGAAGAGAAAUCUUGGCUGGGGAAAAAAAAAAAAAAACUUGGAACAUGUAUCUUCUCCACCUUGAAUCCUCCAGAGGCUUCCUGAAGCCAACCCAGACCCCCUGCACCUCCCACCCACAAAUGGGCCACCUGCGUGUGCACCCUGUGCCCAGGGAGGGAGCCCCAGAGAAGCCCAAGGGACCCGGGCAUGAAAGAAUUGGAGAUUAAAAGUCUUCUGAGUGGACAUCAUGGCAAGGGGGCGGAUGCGGACAUUUUUUUAAACUUGGAGUAAUUUGGCAGAAAGACACCAUAGGUCUUUCAGUUCCCAGAGCUAGAGUUGCCAGAUUUAGCAAAUAAAAAUACAGGACAUCUGUUAAAUUUCAGAUAAACAAUGAAUUAUUUUUGUAUGUGUCCCAAAUAUCGCCUGGGACAUACUUAUACUACAAACUUCUGUGCCCUGUAUUUUAUCUGACUACCUACCCUGGCGCAGGGCUUCACCUCGACAAGGCUUGGGAGGACACGGCCCUGCAUCCCUUCCUAGCCUAGCCUCUUCCCACAUUGUCUCCAACUCUGCAGGCCCUCGUCCUGGGGCUGGGGGGGGGGGCAGAUUUCUAGUGCUGAGAACAGUUAAGCUCUUUCCUGCCCCAGGGCCUUUGCACUGAGCCUCCUAUAUUCCUGGAACCCUCCUCCUCCCCAUGUGUGGCUCCUCAUCCGCACCAAUGAGGGUCACCUUAAAUGUCCUGCGCUAAAGAGGCGUCUCCUGGCCAAUUUGAUUCUGUCCUUGGUCUCCCUGUUAUUUUGUAUCUCAGCCCCCUAUUCAUAAUUCCUUCAGAGCACACAUCCCAUUCGUAAUCAUUUUGUCCAUUGACUCUUUAUUUUUUAUCUAUGUAUCACUCACUGCCCCCCACGUGGACAGCAGCCGCACUGAUUCUCCUGGUUCUCCACGCUCCGUCUUGCACGCACUCACCCAAGAAAUGCACAG
RNAcentral lists this long non-coding RNA (2054 nucleotides) under Canis lupus familiaris (dog). RNAcentral describes it as "lncRNA (ENSCAFG00040001285.1)". The record is from RNAcentral. Lineage: Eukaryota; Metazoa; Chordata; Mammalia; Carnivora; Canidae.